GCACACACGACCCAGCUGCGCGGUGGAUGUCUAGAAGGUAUUAAAACAGAUUUAUAUUAAUACUCCACGUGACCUUCUGCUUGACGCUGUGCUUCACCGAGAACUGUGUCACCGGCAGGAAGCUGAUCUUUGUGGACUGUGCCCACAUGCCGAGGCUCGGAAUCACAGAUUUUAAACAUAUGCAGGCCAUCGCGGCGCGCGUGCGCGAGCUGCUGGGCAUCGGGGAGGUCCUGUGGAGUCGCAGCAUCGCCGACCCCCCGCGGGACCCCGAGGGCCUCUUCCUGGAAAUGAAGAGCCGCACGGGCGUCAAGACCGACGAGCUGACCCCUCAGCAGCUCCUGGAAGACAUACGCCACUGACCGCAUCCGAAGUCCGCGGACAGUUCGGGUUUGCCGCGGCGGACACGUUAUGAUUUUUAAAAAUAAACAAUAUUGACGUAGUUGUACUCCUGCCACACAUUAUAAAAAUUGAAAUAUAAUCAAAACAAAAUUUUUAAAUGCAUUGACCUUGAGUGGAAUACUUCCUUUUCACAGAUUUGUAAUGCUGCGUCACAGUUUGAAAAAUAUUUCUAUUUUGCUCAUAAGUGAGACACGGAUGUUUGGAUGGAUGGAUGGAGAGAUAGAUAUGAUUCUGAUGGAUAGAUGGAUGGAUUUAUGGUUGGCUAGAUGGCUAGAUGGAUGGAGAUAGAUGGAGAGAUGGAUGGUAGAUAGAUGGAGGGAUGAAGAGUUAGAUGGAGAUAGAUGGAGCGAUAGAUGGAGAGAUAGAAGUGAUUCAGAUGGAUGGAUGGAUGGCUGGAUAGAUGGAGAUAGAUGGAGAGAUAGAUGCGAGAUAGAUGAUGGAUGGGUGGAUGGAUAGAUAGAUCGAUAGAUGGGGAGAUGGAGAGAUGAAGAG
RNA transcript from Syngnathoides biaculeatus (alligator pipefish), 891 nucleotides. It is a transcript of the gene named sterile alpha motif domain-containing protein 15-like, with no coding region annotated. The transcript has 3 exons. The record is from RefSeq and is a predicted model, not a curated record. Lineage: Eukaryota; Metazoa; Chordata; Actinopteri; Syngnathiformes; Syngnathidae.